Long non-coding RNA from Anser brachyrhynchus (Pink-footed goose), 1209 nucleotides. NCBI's taxonomy places the organism in Eukaryota, Metazoa, Chordata, Aves, Anseriformes, Anatidae. The record is from Ensembl.
AUGUUACACGGGAUGAAGGGAUCCUCUGAGCCAGGCAGCUCCUGGGGGUGCAAACAUCCCUGCACUUCAUACCAGCUUUGCUUCUGCCGCUGGCUCCUGCUCCGCAGCCUGAGGAUCAGUGGCUGGGCUCUUCUGCGGGGAGGCUGCUGGCGCGGGGGGCUCCGACACCUCUCCGCUCGCUGCCGGCAGGCCCUGGGGGAAAUCACGUUGGUCAGGGGCACGGCAGCACCACGAGAGCCACGUGGCCACGAAAUGCGGGUCAGCACCGUGUGCUGGAGGCAAAAACCCACCUCAUCCACCUGCCCCCCGCUCUGCACGCUGUCUUUGCAGGCGCUAGCUGGCUGGGGAGCGUCGGGGUGCUGCGGCUCCUCCUUGCCUCCUGGCUGGCUCUGCUGGGGGCAGGACUGGGAGGACUUGGAGGACGCGUGCUUCCCUGCGGAGCGAGAAGCACAACGGGACCGAAUCCACCAAAUCCUAACCCUUGCCACGGAGAUGCUGCUGGCUGCGCACACCGUGGCAGCGCCCUGGGCAUCCCCAGGCAGGCGCCGUCGUGGCAGCACGAACCUUUGGAGAGCUGGGGAGAGGCCGGGCCGUGGUACGCCGACGUCUCUUGCUGGACAUGGCGAAGGAGUCGGCAGCGUUUCUGGCGCAGGCCACGAGAGCGCCAGGGCGGGCAGCCUUCCUGGAAGGCUCCUUGCUCCCUGCAGGGUUAAAGACAGCCCCCGUGGGAAAUUUAGGCUGGCGGGGAUCUCUGGUGCAACCUCCCACCCGGAGCAGGGUCAGCGUCACUGCUGCAUCGCCCUGGAGCAGUAUUUACCCCGCCUGCUGCCCCUAGCCCUCCGCUGCGCGCCACAGCUGAGCCUGGCCUCGUUUGUGCGUGCUGGGCAGCCCCCUCGUCCCCAGGGGGGCCACCCCGUGGGAGCUGCGCUCAGCCCGGACCCGCAGCCUGGUGCGGGAUCCGUCCCCUUCUCCAGCCUGUGCCCCCUGCCCUCGGUGCGGGCACCCACCAUGGGAAGUCGGCGGGGUGCUGCUCCUCUCUGGAGAACUCAGACCAGGCGAAGCAGCCCGGGGCAAACAGCGGCGGCACCUGCGGGGAGCGGCAGAUUUAGGCACCGAUCCCGGGGCACCGCGCCUGGCACAGCCACGGCCCCGCCAGCCCUCCCCAGCCCGCCUCCCCUCACCCCCUCACCGGGUACGAGUCCUCGGUAA